Molecule: long non-coding RNA, 744 nt
Filed under: Nicotiana tabacum (common tobacco)
Lineage: Eukaryota; Viridiplantae; Streptophyta; Magnoliopsida; Solanales; Solanaceae
Description: long non-coding RNA (NTAB_LNC016746)
Source: RNAcentral
AAUUCACUCGAAAGGUAAGUUUCCACGAAACCCCCUUUUAUCUUCUACUAAAACAAGAAAAUUCAAAAAAAAGAGGUCGCUUAGUAUUCUCGAACUUUGUCCCCAGCCAGCCAGCAUUAGGGUUUUAAACCCUAAACUGAGCUUUUACAUGCAAUCAACAUUAGGGUUUUAAACCCUAAACUGAAUUUUUCCUUUAGUCAGCAUUAGGGUUUUAAACCCUAAACUGAACUUUUUUCCAUUCAGCCAGCAUUAGGGUUUUAAACCCUAAACUGAGCUUUUCCAUGCAAUCAGCAUUAGGGUUUUAAACCCUAAACUGAAUUUUUCCUUUAGUCAGCAUUAGGGUUUUAAGCCCUAAACUGAACUUUUUUCCAUUCAGCCAGCAUUAGGGUUUUAAACCCUAAACUGAGCUUUUCCAUGCAAUCAACAUUAGGGUUUUAAACCCUAAACUGAACUUUUUCCUUUAGUCAGCAUUAGGGUUUUAAACCCUAAACUGAAUUUUUCAUUCAGCCAGCAUUAGGGUUUUAAACCCUAAACUGAGCUUUUCCAUGCAAUCAGCAUUAGGGUUUUAAACCCUAAACUGAACUUUUUCCAUUUAGCCAGCAUUAGGAUUUAAACCCUAAACUGAGCUUUUCCUUUCAGCCAGCAUUAGGGUUUUAAACCCUAAACUGAGCUUUUCCAUUCAGCCAGCAUUAGGGUUUUAAACCCUAAACUGAGCUUUUCCUUUCAGCCAGCAUUAGGGUUUUA